Molecule: ribosomal RNA, 497 nt
Filed under: uncultured bacterium
Lineage: Bacteria
Description: partial 16S ribosomal RNA
Rfam family: Bacterial small subunit ribosomal RNA
Source: RNAcentral
GAUGAACGCUGGCGGCGUGCCUAACACAUGCAAGUCGAGCGGACAGACGAUGCGCUUGCGCCUUUGACGUUAGCGGCGGGCGGGUGAGUCACACGUGGAUACCCUACUUAUAUGUCUGGGAUCAUUACGGGAGACCGGAUACAAUAUCGGAUCAUAUGUUGAACCGCAGGGAUCAUUAGAGCUUGCCGGCUUUGGUGAUUCUAAGAGCUGGUUCCGAGCCGGAUUAGCUAGUUGGUAGGGUAACGGCCUACCAAGGCUACGAUGCGUAGCUGAGCUGAGAGGAUGAUCAGCCACACUGGAACUGAGACACGGUCCAGACUCCUACGGGAGGCAGCAGUGGGGAAUCUUGGGCAAUGGGCGAAAGCCUGACGCAGCCAGGCCGCGUGAGUGAAGAAGGUCUUCGGAUCGUAAAGCACUGUUAUUAGGGAAGAACAGCUGUAUGAGAAACCCUGGACGUCUUGACGGUACCUAAUCAAUAAGCAACGGCUAACUACGUG